GUGGGGAAUAUUGGGCAAUGGGCGCAAGCCUGACCCAGCAACGCCGCGUGAGGGAAGAAGGUCUUCGGAUUGUAAACCUCUGUCGCAAGGGACGAAGGCGUGACGGUACCUUGUGAGGAAGCCCCGGCUAACUACGUGCCAGCAGCCGCGGUAAUACGUAGGGGGCGAGCGUUGUCCGGAAUUACUGGGCGUAAAGGGUGCGUAGGCGGUUGCUUAAGUUGGAUGUGAAAUACCCGGGCUUAACUUGGGGGGUGCAUUCAAAACUGGGCGACUAGAGUUCAGGAGAGGGAAGCGGAAUUCCUAGUGUAGCGGUGAAAUGCGUAGAUAUUAGGAGGAACACCAGUGGCGAAGGCGGCUUUCUGGACUGACACUGACGCUGAGGCACGAAAGCGUGGGGAGCAAACAGGA
RNAcentral lists this ribosomal RNA (408 nucleotides) under uncultured bacterium. RNAcentral describes it as "bacterial SSU rRNA". It matches the Rfam family "Bacterial small subunit ribosomal RNA", at positions 354 to 777 of the family's 1533-position model. The record is from RNAcentral.